ACUGAACGCUGGCGGCAGGCCUAACACAUGCAAGUCGAGCGGAAGAAGGGUGCUUGUUUCUGGAUUCAGCGGGGGACGGGUGUGUAAUGCCCAGGAAUCUGCCUGGCAGCGGGGGAUAACGUCCGGAAACGGGUGCUAAUACCGCAGACGUCGUGAGGGAGAAAGUGGGUGAUCCUCGGACUUCUCGCUAGCAGAUGAGCCUAGGUCGGAUUAGCUAGUUGGUGGGGUAAAGAACUGCCAAGGCGACGAUCCUUAACUGGUCUGAGAGGAUGAUCGGUCACACGGGAGCUGAGACACGGUCCAGACUCCUACGGGAGGCAGCAGUGGGGAAUAUUGGACAAUGGGCGAAAGCCUGAUCCAGCCAUGCCGCGUGUGUGAAGAAGGUCUUCGGAUUGUAAAGCCCUUUAAGUUGGGAGGAAGGGCAGUAGGUUGAUACCUUGCUGUUUUGACGUUACCGACAGAAUAAGCACCGGCUAACUUCGUG
RNAcentral lists this ribosomal RNA (484 nucleotides) under uncultured bacterium. Its description in RNAcentral is "partial 16S ribosomal RNA". It matches the Rfam family "Bacterial small subunit ribosomal RNA", at positions 30 to 507 of the family's 1533-position model. The record is from RNAcentral.